CGCUAGCUACAGGCUUAACACAUGCAAGUCGAGGGGCAGCAUGGUCUUAGCUUGCUAAGGCCGAUGGCGACCGGCGCACGGGUGAGUAACACGUAUCCAACCUGCCGUCUACUCUUGGACAGCCUUCUGAAAGGAAGAUUAAUACAAGAUGGCAUCAUGAGUCCACAUGUUCACAUGAUUAAAGGUAUUCCGGUAGACGAUGGGGAUGCGUUCCAUUAGAUAGUAGGCGGGGUAACGGCCCACCUAGUCUUCGAUGGAUAGGGGUUCUGAGAGGAAGGUCCCCCACAUUGGAACUGAGACACGGUCCAAACUCCUACGGGAGGCAGCAGUGAGGAAUAUUGGUCAAUGGGCGAGAGCCUGAACCAGCCAAGUAGCGUGAAGGAUGACUGCCCUAUGGGUUGUAAACUUCUUUUAUAAAGGAAUAAAGUCGGGUAUGCAUACCCGUUUGCAUGUACUUUAUGAAUAAGGAUCGGCUAACUCCGUGCCAGCAGCCGCGGUAAUACGGAGGAUCCGAGCGUUAUCCGGAUUUAUUGGGUUUAAAGGGAGCGUAGAUGGAUGUUUAAGUCAGUUGUGAAAGUUUGCGGCUCAACCGUAAAAUUGCAGUUGAUACUGGAUAUCUUGAGUGCAGUUGAGGCAGGCGGAAUUCGUGGUGUAGCGGUGAAAUGCUUAGAUAUCACGAAGAACUCCGAUUGCGAAGGCAGCCUGCUAAGCUGCAACUGACAUUGAGGCUCGAAAGUGUGGGUAUCAAACAGGAUUAGAUACCCUGGUAGUCCACACGGUAAACGAUGAAUACUCGCUGUUUGCGAUAUACAGCAAGCGGCCAAGCGAAAGCGUUAAGUAUUCCACCUGGGGAGUACGCCGGCAACGGUGAAACUCAAAGGAAUUGACGGGGGCCCGCACAAGCGGAGGAACAUGUGGUUUAAUUCGAUGAUACGCGAGGAACCUUACCCGGGCUUAAAUUGCAGAUGAAUUACGGUGAAAGCCGUAAGCCGCAAGGCAUCUGUGAAGGUGCUGCAUGGUUGUCGUCAGCUCGUGCCGUGAGGUGUCGGCUUAAGUGCCAUAACGAGCGCAACCCUUGUUGUCAGUUACUAACAGGUCAUGCUGAGGACUCUGACAAGACUGCCAUCGUAAGAUGUGAGGAAGGUGGGGAUGACGUCAAAUCAGCACGGCCCUUACGUCCGGGGCUACACACGUGUUACAAUGGGGGGUACAGAGGGCCGCUACCACGCGAGUGGAUGCCAAUCCCAAAAACCUCUCUCAGUUCGGACUGGAGUCUGCAACCCGACUCCACGAAGCUGGAUUCGCUAGUAAUCGCGCAUCAGCCACGGCGCGGUGAAUACGUUCCCGGGCCUUGUACACACCGCCCGUCAAGCCAUGGGAGCCGGGGGUACCUGAAGUGCGUAACCGCGAGGAGCGCCCUAGGGUAAAACUGGUGAC
This 1437-nucleotide ribosomal RNA is filed under the name uncultured organism. Its description in RNAcentral is "16S ribosomal RNA". It matches the Rfam family "Bacterial small subunit ribosomal RNA". The record is from RNAcentral.